This 785-nucleotide ribosomal RNA is filed under the name Klebsiella aerogenes. RNAcentral describes it as "bacterial SSU rRNA". It matches the Rfam family "Bacterial small subunit ribosomal RNA", at positions 48 to 824 of the family's 1533-position model. The record is from RNAcentral. Lineage: Bacteria; Pseudomonadati; Pseudomonadota; Gammaproteobacteria; Enterobacterales; Enterobacteriaceae.
CUAACACAUGCAAGUCGAGCGGUAACACAGAGAGCUUGCUCUCGGGUGACGAGCGGCGGAGGGAGAGUAAUGUCUGGGAAACUGCCUGAUGGAGGGGGAUAACUACUGGAAACGGUAGCUAAUACCGCAUAACGUCGCAAGACCAAAGUGGGGGACCUUCGGGCCUCAUGCCAUCAGAUGUGCCCAGAUGGGAUUAGCUAGUAGGUGGGGUAAUGGCUCACCUAGGCGACGAUCCCUAGCUGGUCUGAGAGGAUGACCAGCCACACUGGAACUGAGACACGGUCCAGACUCCUACGGGAGGCAGCAGUGGGGAAUAUUGCACAAUGGGCGCAAGCCUGAUGCAGCCAUGCCGCGUGUAUGAAGAAGGCCUUCGGGUUGUAAAGUACUUUCAGCGAGGAGGAAGGCGUUAAGGUUAAUAACCUUGGUGAUUGACGUUACUCGCAGAAGAAGCACCGGCUAACUCCGUGCCAGCAGCCGCGGUAAUACGGAGGGUGCAAGCGUUAAUCGGAAUUACUGGGCGUAAAGCGCACGCAGGCGGUCUGUCAAGUCGGAUGUGAAAUCCCCGGGCUCAACCUGGGAACUGCAUUCGAAACUGGCAGGCUAGAGUCUUGUAGAGGGGGGUAGAAUUCCAGGUGUAGCGGUGAAAUGCGUAGAGAUCUGGAGGAAUACCGGUGGCGAAGGCGGCCCCCUGGACAAAGACUGACGCUCAGGUGCGAAAGCGUGGGGGAGCAAACAGGAUUAGAUACCCUGGUAGUCCACGCCGUAAACGAUGUCGACUUGGAGGU